GCGGAAGCAGUUCAGUGGUAGAACGCCGCCUUGCCAAGGUGGGGCUGGAAGUUUGAAUCUCGUUUUUCGCU
This 71-nucleotide transfer RNA is filed under the name Alteribacillus persepolensis. RNAcentral's name for it is "Bacillus sp. HS-136 tRNA". It matches the Rfam family "tRNA". From Rfam's summary of the family: Transfer RNA (tRNA) molecules are approximately 80 nucleotides in length. Their secondary structure includes four short double-helical elements and three loops (D, anti-codon, and T loops). The record is from Rfam by way of RNAcentral. Lineage: Bacteria; Bacillati; Bacillota; Bacilli; Caryophanales; Bacillaceae.